UUUAGAUUAAAUCACCAUUGGUAGUGCGAUUUAUUGUAAUGCUUUUUCUUCAGUUGGUCAGAACAAACGUGGCAGACUUGUUACUUACUUGUUCAGAUGGAAAUAUACGGUGAAAAUCCUUAUUUGGGCCAUAUAUUCCAAGACAAAGGCUAGAAUCUGUGAGUGCGAAGUACAGUAAACAUCCACACCGGUGUGGUGACUGACAGCUGACUGACACAUACUCUUCAAAACAUCAGAUUCAUCCGCGCUGAAGCUGUGCCGGAGCGCAACCCACGCAAGGAAGAUAAUUCUGCAAGCAGCUGCAAUUCCAGGUUUUCAAACAGAGAUGGCAACAAAGAGGCAACGGACUGCAGCUGAAAUGACCCUGAAAUGUCAACGUCAUAAUGCGUAUUUAAAAAGAAUGGAUAAAAAAGUAGAAUAUAAACACUUCUAAUUUUUAUUCAUUAAACUGAACACCUACGGUGCUGCUUUUUUUUUGUCCUUUCAUGGAAAAGAGCAGCAUGAACAUUUGUCAGGAUUUGUCCUUUUGUGCUCCACCGAAGAAAGAAAGUCAUAUGGAUUAGGAACAACAUGAAGGUAGAUGUUGGCCAAAGACAUCUUGGCGAUCUUGUAGAGACACAGUGAGAGUGAGAUGGCGCAGAGGACGAACAGUGUGUCGUUGAUGGCCACGCGCACCAGCACUACAGUCUCUGUGUCGGCCUUCGUCAUCUUCACCAGCAGAGCACAGGUCAGGUUCACCAGCAGGAAGAUGAUGCUGAUGCCCAGGAAGAGCAGGUGCAAAGGUGUCAAACUCACCUGUGCGAAGUACAGAUUCAUGAGGCUGAGCGUGAAGAACUGCAGGCAGACUGGAAAACAGUAGAGCAGCCAGAAAGCCAAGGGUCCGAGCGUGUUU
Molecule: long non-coding RNA, 892 nt
Organism: Onychostoma macrolepis
Lineage: Eukaryota; Metazoa; Chordata; Actinopteri; Cypriniformes; Cyprinidae
Exons: 3
Source: RefSeq, a predicted model, not a curated record